Molecule: ribosomal RNA, 424 nt
Filed under: uncultured bacterium
Lineage: Bacteria
Description: bacterial SSU rRNA
Rfam family: Bacterial small subunit ribosomal RNA
Source: RNAcentral
UAAGGAAUAUUGGACAAUGGCCGCAAGGCUGAUCCAGCCAUGCCGCGUGCAGGAAGAAGGCGCUAUGCGUCGUAAACUGCUUUUACACCGGAGAAAACCCCUUUACGUGUAAAGGGCUGAUAGUAUGGUGAGAAUAAGCAUCGGCUAACUUCGUGCCAGCAGCCGCGGUAAGACGAAGGAUGCAAGCGUUAUCCGGAUUCAUUGGGUUUAAAGGGAGCGUAGGUGGUCUUAUAAGUCAGUGGUGAAAUCUUCUCGCUUAACGGGAAAACUGCCAUUGAUACUGUAGGACUUGAGUAUAGUUGCUGUGGGCGGAAUAUGACAUGUAGUGGUGAAAUACUUAGAGAUGUCAUAGAACACCGAUUGCGAAGGCAGCUCACAAAACUAUAACUGACACUGAGGCUCGAAAGUGCGGGGAUCAAACAGG